AGAGUUUGAUCCUGGCUCAGAACGAACGCUGGCGGCAUGCCUAACACAUGCAAGUCGAACGGGAUCCGAGCUUCGGUUCGGUGAGAGUGGCGGACGGGUGAGUAACGCGUGGGAACCUGCCCAGUGGUGGGGGAUAACUGCGGGAAACUGCAGCUAAUACCGCAUGAGCCCCGAGUGUAACAGCUUGGGGGAAAGAUUUAUCGCCAUUGGAGGGGCCCGCGUUUGAUUAGGUAGUUGGUGAGGUAACGGCUCACCAAGCCGACGAUCGAUAGCUGGUCUGAGAGGAUGAUCAGCCACACUGGGACUGAGAUACGGCCCAGACUCCUACGGGAGGCAGCAGUGGGGAAUAUUGGACAAUGGGGGCAACCCUGAUCCAGCAAUGCCGCGUGAGUGAUGAAGGCCUUCGGGUUGUAAAGCUCUUUUGCCAGGGACGAUGAUGACGGUACCUGGAGAAUAAGCCCCGGCUAACUUCGUGCCAGCAGCCGCGGUAAUA
RNAcentral lists this ribosomal RNA (493 nucleotides) under bacterium enrichment culture clone DWBac6. RNAcentral describes it as "bacterial SSU rRNA". It matches the Rfam family "Bacterial small subunit ribosomal RNA", at positions 8 to 525 of the family's 1533-position model. The record is from RNAcentral.